UUCUAGUCUCUAAAGAGUCCAGGUUUGCUCUUGGCUUCUUCAGUCCACGGAAUUCUACACUCCGAUAUAUUGGAGUUUGGUACAACACAAUUCGUGAACAAACCGUUGUAUGGGUUCUUAACAGAGACCAUCCUAUCAAUGAUACCUCCGGAGUCCUCUCCAUCAACACUUCUGGAAACCUCCUUCUGCACCGCGGAAACACUCAUGUAUGGUCCACAGACGUUUCCAUCUCAUCAGUGAACCCUACUGUGGCUCAGCUGUUAGAUACCGGAAACCUAGUCUUGAUCCAAAAAGAUGACAAGAUGGUUGUGUGGCAAGGCUUUGAUUAUCCCACAGAUAAUUUGAUUCCACACAUGAAACUCGGACUGAAUCGGAGAACCGGUUACAACAGGUUCCUAACCUCUUGGAAGUCCCCAACUGACCCAGCAACCGGGAAAUACUCGCUUGGAUUUAACGUCAGUGGGUCUCCUCAAAUAUUUUUGUACCAGGGUUCAGAGCCGCUAUGGAGAAGCGGUCACUGGAACGGGCUCCGGUGGAGCGGUCUGCCGGUGAUGAUGUACAGAUUCCAACACAAAGUUAGCUUUUUGAACAAUCAAGAUGAAAUCUAUUAUAUGUUUAUUAUGGUCAACGCGUCGUUUCUCGAGCGGCUGACGGUGGACCACGAGGGAUAUAUCCAGCGGAACAUGUGGCAGGAAACGGAAGGCAAAUGGUUCAGCUUCUACACAGCCCCAAGGGACAGGUGCGACAGGUACGGCCGGUGCGGACCCAACAGCAACUGUGACAACAGCCAGGCCGAGUUUGAGUGCACGUGCCUGGCGGGAUUCGAGCCCAAGUCGCCACGUGACUUGUUCUUGAAAGACGGCUCAGCGGGAUGUCUGAGGAAGGAAGGAGCGAAGGUGUGCGGGAACGGGGAAGGGUUUGUGAAGGUGGGAGGUGCGAAGCCCCCAGAUACAUCGGUGGCACGUGUGAACAUGAACAUCAGCAUGGAAGCGUGUAGAGAGGAGUGCCUGAAGGAGUGUUCUUGCAGUGGAUACGCGGCUGCAAAUGUGAGUGGAAGUGGGAGUGGGUGCUUGUCUUGGCAUGGGGAUUUGGUGGAUACAAGAGUGUUUCCUGAAGGGGGCCAAAAUUUAUAUGUGCGUGUGGAUGCCAUCACUCUAGGUAUGCUAGCAUUUAAUUGUCAGGAUUCAUGAAUGAUUUCUCUCCCAGAUUUACGAGAUCAUUUAUGAUGUUUUUUUUCGUGUAUUUUUUUAGCUGAAAAUCAAAAGCAGUCAAAAGGUUUCCUUGCGAAGAAGGGGAUGAUGGCAGUUUUGGUGGUGGGGGCUACUGUGAUUAUGGUUCUGUUGGUCUCCACAUUUUGGUUCUUAAGGAAGAAGAUGAAAGGUAAUCAAACAAAAAUUCUUAUGGCUCAUUUAAGCCUUCUAUCCAAUGUUUGUGUCUUGGGCAUGGAUUAACAUGAAGAGAUUAAUAAGAAAAGCCAAACAUUUCUAAGCUCAGUUACCCAGUGAAUUAAUCUGGGAUAGAGUCUUUUUUCCUUGCUUUCAUGGUAUUAAGGAAUUGUAUUAUUUCUUCUUUUUUUUCCCAUUUAUUUUCCCCCACAAUCAAAAAAGCAUUAUUUAUUGUUAUACUUCCAUGACAGGGAGAGGAAGACAAAACAAAAUGUUGUAUAAUUCGAGACCUGGCGCUACAUGGUUGCAAGACUCUCCAGGAGCUAAGGAGCAUGAUGAAAGUACAACCAAUUCUGAAUUACAAUUCUUUGAUCUGAACACCAUAGUUGCAGCCACAAAUAAUUUCUCUUCUGAGAACGAACUUGGACGUGGUGGUUUUGGCUCAGUUUUUAAGGUAGUCAGUCAUUCUCAAAUUUGUGAUGACUAUUGAAAUUGUUGGACUUUCUUUCAUUGCACAAACAUUACGCUAAGCUGAAUUUUUCUAACUGUGAAUAAGUUAAUUCUACAUGACGAUUAUCAGGGUCAGCUAUCUAAUGGACAAGAAAUAGCUGUGAAAAAAUUAUCAAAGGAUUCGGGACAAGGAAAAGAAGAAUUUAAGAAUGAAGCGACACUUAUUGCAAAACUCCAACACGUGAAUCUUGUGAGGCUUGUGGGUUGUUGCAUUACAGAAGAAGAGAAUAUGUUAGUCUAUGAGUACUUGUCAAACAAAAGUUUAGACUCUUUCAUUUUUGGUAUGUAGCAUUUAUUUUUGCCAUUUCCAUUUCUUUAAUCUUCUAAGGUUCUUGCAUAAUCACUUGGAGAAGUUAUUUGCCUAAUAAAAAUCAUUAUUGGUAUAUCCUAAUAUUGUUUUAAUGAUUGAUAUUUUAUAUAUCUUUCGGCCAGAUGAAACAAAGAAGUCAUUGUUAGAUUGGAGGAAACGCUUUGAAAUUAUUGUCGGAAUUGCUCGAGGUAUCUUAUAUCUUCAUGAGGACUCUAGAUUAAGAAUCAUACAUAGAGAUCUAAAAGCAAGCAAUGUUCUACUCGAUGCCGAAAUGUUUCCAAAAAUUUCAGAUUUUGGCUUGGCUAGAAUAUUUCGAGGAAAUCAAAUGGAAGGAAACACAAAUCGAGUAGUUGGAACAUAGUAAGUGUUAUGUUUGAGAUGCCAAAGAAACAUAUUAGUUAAUAUGUUUUAAUAGUUUCUUUUAUUUGCUAUUGCAGUGGUUACAUGUCACCUGAGUAUGCGAUGGAAGGGUUAUUUUCAACAAAAUCCGAUGUCUAUAGCUUCGGAGUUUUGUUGUUAGAGAUUAUUACUGGGAGAAAAAAUAGCACCUAUUAUCGGGACGGUCCAUCCAUAAGCUUAGUUGGAAAUGUAAGUGAGUUGCAUGUGUUGCAUUACUUUUUUUUUUUUUUUUUCAUUCUUUACAGUAAGCUAAUAAUGGUAAAAUUAUCAGGUUUGGAACCUAUGGGAAGAAGGCAAAGCCUUAGAUAUAAUCGAUCUGUCACUACAAAAGUCAUACCCUACAGAUGAAGUAUUGAGAUGCAUCCAAAUUGGGCUCUUAUGUGUCCAAGAAUCUGUAACGGAUCGACCUACCAUGUUGACUAUUAUUUUCAUGUUGGGUAAUAACUCUGCUCUUCCUUUUCCUAAACGACCUGCAUUUAUUUCAAAAACAACUCACAAGGGUGAAGAUCUAUCAUCCUCUGGUGAGGGACUUUUAUCUGUAAAUAAUGUGACUGUGACUGUGCUUCAACCUCGCUAAAUGCUUACACUCUCACAUGUUGUAUGUUUAUCCUCCAUGACAAUGAACACUACAAGAAAAAAGCCUUUCGUUGACAGUUUUUCACCAUCAUGGUAGGGUAUAUCUGUCAAGGUAUAUUACUAUUUAUAUAUGUCAUCUAUGCCAGUGUCAAGAAAAGUUUAAAGUUAUCUUGACAUUUACAUAUGUUAAGGUUGUUUCUAUUUUUACCAAUGAUGGAAUCUUUGUUAGUAUGACAUAUGUCAAUUUUCUUUCACUUUUGUCAAGGUUGGAUUCAACAUAUGUCAAGAUUUCUUGAUCUUAUGUUAAGGUUAACUUGCUCUUCUAUUAAGGUUGCUACAACAAAUGUCAAGGAUAAGUAUAAUAUGUCAAGGUUUCUAGCUAUUGCAAUGUCAAUGUUGGGCAUUGGCCAUCUGUCAAGGUUGCUUAUGACAAAUUUAAUAUUAUUUUACUAUAAUUUUUAGUUUUAAUGGAAAAUGAACCUAUUACCAUAUGAAACUUGUUUCCAAAUUAAAUUUGAUACAUAUUUAAUUAUGAUAAUAAUAACUAAGUCCUAAAACAAUGUAAAUAAAUCAUUACUCAAGGGGAAAAAUCUUUUUCUACUUACUCUCUAUUUUUCUAUAUGCUAAAAAAAACUAAUUGCAAACAUUCAAUUAAGAUAAUAUACAAACUUAAAUUGGAAAGUACAAUACUAUCUUCAUAAGAGGUGGUCACUAAUUCUUCAUCAUCUUCUUCUUUUUGCUAUAUUUCUUGAAUACCUAGUAGGAUAGACACGACAUUAAUAGAAAAGUUAGUAACAAGUAUCCAAAUAGCAAUUUUCAAAUUAUAAGGUACUUUCAAUUGCAAGAAUACAUUAAACAUAUAUGCAAUUUGUAGAUACCAUAUCUCUAGCAUUAAUAUUCAAGCCCGACCCUCUAGAAAGACCCCAAAAUUGUCAACACCUCUAUCUCAAACCUAUGAUAGAAAAAACAAACGAUGUUAACAAAAAGAAAAGCUCAAAUUGUGAAAUUAGAUGUCUAACUACAAUGAAAUAUUUUUAAGAUUGAAUUCUAAGUUUAAUUAUUGUGUUUUUAUAUUAUGGACCUAAAUAACUAUAAUAGUAUACUUCUUUUUAAUUUCUAAAAGGAAUGCAAAAAGGAAAAGAGAAAACAAAAGUUUCAAAUAUAUCUUUCAUGUUAUUUUGGCUUCCAAAUAGAUAAAAACUCAAAUUAUCCAAGAAAUCGUUAAAAUUAAAAUUGAGCAUAAAUUUUAAUCAUCUCAAUCAUAAAUAAUGAAAUAUCUAAAUUCAAUUUCAUAGAAACCACACUAACUAUUAAUUUCAUGCACCAAAUGCAUCUAAUCUUAACAAAAUAAAAAAUCAAGGAUAUUCUCCUUCAAUUCUAAUAGGAUAAUAGAUCUUAUGUGUGCAAAUUUUGUCUUUAUUUCAAGAAUUAAUAAAUGCACAAGCUAUCUAGUUGAGAGCUUAAAUCUGUAAAUUUUUAAAAGAAAUAAAUUAAGUAAAUAAACAAAAAAGGUCUAAGAAAUGGAAAAUCUCCAAAAUUAAAGAGAAAAUCAAGCACAUUUCAUAAAUGGGAAAGAGUUAUGCAAUAUGCUGCUAUUUUUUUCUAACUAAUGUGAAAUUGAAAACAAAUUUGACACAAAGUUGUGUGAGAAUACAUCUAUAAGGUUCAUAGAAAUAAUGUGCAGAUUGCCAUUUAAAGCUAUGUAAACUAAGAAUGACAAAUAGCAAAUUAUAUUAUUUAUAUCUAUCAUACCUUGUUAAAAUACCAUGUCAAAUAUUCCAUAGAUAGACAACUAGGCAUGAGUAUGAAAAUGUUGUCUAGAUGUUUUUCUCAUAGGCAGCUAAUGCAUGAGUUCAUCGAAUUCAAAACUUAACAACAAUUAAAGCUGACAAAGCACCCAAUUAUCAAUUAUUAAAGAACUCUUAAUGGGAGCAAAAACUAAAACUAAUAAAGCAACUAAUAACAAAAUAUAAGAGUUGCAUUGGUACCCAAUAUAAUGUUCUUCCUAAUGUAAUUGUGCUCAUUAAAACAAAAAACUUCACGGCAUAAAUUAAUUGAAGACCCCGUACAAGCAACAAGAAAAUACUUCAUACCAUUAUAGUGGUAAUUAAGGAUUAUAGAAACAAUUUUAGUUGGCUUGUGACUAUGAAUCGAAGAAUUAAAAUUUUGUGAGGGUUGAUUUAUUGCUUAUCAAUAAGAUAGCAUAUCAAUAUUUAACAAAAGAAAGAGUUUCAAGCAAUCAUGAAUCAUAACAUUAAAAUUUAGCCCUAAAAAGAGGGGAAAAAACAAAGAGAAAGAACCAAACCAAAGGAGCCCAACUAAAAAUUCAAGUGCAUAAAUAAGUAAAAUUAAAUAGUUAACCAUAUUAAAGAGAAAACCAUGUCCCAUUAUGCAAAUUGUUUUUGUGUGCCCAAAUAUAUAGUUCUAUUUCUUCAAAUUGCAUUAAAAGUCCAAUGGUAUCUGUAAAGGAAAUAGUAGAGAUAAAAUUUAAACGUAAUCUACUCAUAAUUAUUUCAAUUAACACAUCCAAAUAUUAUGGAUCAACAGAGAAAUCAAUUUAAAGAAAACAAAACAUCAGUCUUUACUAGCAUAAAACGAAAACAAAAGUUUAAAAAAAAAAAAAAUUCAUUAGAUAUCAGAUUAUUUUUGGGGCAACAAAAUUAAGACACAUAAUUGCAUUAACCAUUGAUGCCUAUAAACUCAAUUCGAAACAUAAAAAUGAAAUUGAACAUGAAUUUCAAGCUUCAAAAUUGCGAACCAAAAAAACACUUACAAAAUGUUAGAAAAGAAUGGGAAGAAAAUUUCUAAAAUAGGAUAUUCUAAGAUGCCUUUUUUUAGUUAUCUUUCUUAGUUUUUCUAUAAUCAAAGAGAGUAAAAAAGGAAAAGAAAAGGUGAAGAUGGAAGAGAAUCAGAUAAUAGAGUACAAUUCACCAAUUAUCUUAAUUGCAAUAAUUUUCAAGAUUACCCUUAAGCCAUAUUUGACUCUUUUUUUUUUUCAAACUUUCCUCGCGUUUUAAAAUGAACUUCUUUACAAAUGGAAAAUCCCAUAACUUAACAUAAUAAAUGAUAUCUGUUAGCCCAAGGGUUCUCCUAAUCGGAUUUUGAUGAUAAGAAACCAUGGUUAAGUGACUAAUUGGUUUAAUAGUUAAGAAUCUUAGGCAUAAACUCGAAUAUUCAUCAAAUGACCAAAUGGAUACAACAUCGAGAAUUUUGGAAGACUUGUGAUCAUAGGAAAUGAAUGCAAGAUGAAUGCAUGAGUGCACUUAGGAUUUUCAUACCGUUUCAUGCAACUUAAAAUACUCGGUUUAUUCUUUAAAACUUCAAUUUCAUUAUAACCCGAGUUUUAACAAAUGUAUCUUAGGCAAAAUGUUUUAAAAUUGGCAUAAUAAUUCACUUAAAGACCUUGCCUAAGUGUUAGAAAAGAAAGGAAUUGAAAAAGAUAGGUUUUCGAGGCCAAAAGGCUCAACCGGUCGAGGCUUUGGCCAACCAGCUCAAUCGGUUGGGGAACUAGUCGACCGGUUGCCCUUGUCUGGUCGAGGUCUAGUCGAGAGAUGUCCCAAAUCUUCUCUCUCCUAGUAGCUUUCUCUUCCCGAUCGAGGUUCAUCUCUUCUCGGUUGAUGUUCGAUCGAGGCAACGGUAACCCGUCAAGCAUUAAAUGCUCCAACGGCUAGUGAACCGGUUGACCCCUAGCUCGACCGGUCGAGGUUACCUUUUAUUGUUUUUGGUUCUCGAGCUUAGAAACCUAUAAAUUGAGAGCUCCACUUCAUUUAUUGUAGAAAGAACACUUGCAAUCAAUUGUCUACCUACCUGUUCUUGACCAAAAAGCUCUCAUUUCUUUCUUAAUGCAUUAAAUCAUCACUUGCAUAUCCUUUAAUGCACUCUUGUGUGUCAUCCUAGCUUUGUCUUGUAUUUUGAGCUAUCCUUAAGCUAGGUUGAGGGAUUCAUUCUUGUAAAAGUUGAGUGUUAAAGCCUUUAAGAGGUUUGAAUCUUGAAGAGAUUGUGUAAGAGCCCAUUGGAGCCGGAAUCCAAGUGUAAGAAGAUUGGAAGCUUGGUUGAAGCUUCAAGUUAGUGGAACUCUCACUCGGUUAGGAGAUUGAGGAGAGUGGACGUAGGCAAGGAAGUGUCAAACCACUAUAAAACCCAAGUUUGAAUUCUCUAACUCUACAUCUUUAUUUUUGUUUAUAUUGUGCUUGAACUUGUUGUGUUUGAAAAGAUUUUAAAAAACCCAAUUCACAUCCCCCCUUUUUAAGUGUUUUUCUUAAUUAAGCAUAGCCUUCAUUUUCUCAAUAUCAAAAUAGAGAAGUUUGAACAUAAGUCAAUAGCAUGAGUAUAUUAUUUGGAUUCAUAGAGAUAGAAAGAAACCAAACUCUGUUAUUAUGUUGAAAAACCAAUUUUCCUAAAAGUUUAAACUUAUAGGAUUUGAGGUCAAUGUGUUUUAUGUCUAUUAACACUCAACACAUAUUUCAAUAAAAAAUUUCAUGAACUCCUCAAACAUUUAUACUACAUAUAACUUAGGGCACCAAAGAAUAUGAGUAAAAGGAGUAUAUGCUAGAAGUCAUUAUUUCUAAUGUUUAGUGGAUUUAAUAUUUAUAUUAUUAAAAAUUAAUAUUUAUGUAAGUAAAAAAUAUCUCAACAUAAAAUUAAAAAUUUUGAAUUAUUUCUAAAGAAAUGAAUUAAAUUUAGAAUUUUUAAAUUUUAGUUUUUAUUAUCUGAUUUACUAUUAAAUGCUCAUUGUUUUGGUUUUCUUUAUUUUUUCAAUGGUCUUUUUCCACGAAUUAUUUCAUAUGUCUAUAGUUUUUUCGAUCUUUGACACGUGGAUUAUCUUGGAAAAUGUUCUUAAUAACAAAGAAAUAUUCCUUCUCGUGAUGAGUAUGAACUAGAAUUCUCAUUUUUUAGCGAAUAAAACUCCCCAAUUUGGUGAGGAAAUGAGAUAGUCACUUUUUUUUUUUGUUACUCGCAUUAUGUACUCAAAGUAUUUAUCCAAAUAUCCGAUACACUUACGAAACCACACUUUUCCAUUUCCAUAAUGUAACAUACGUGACGAUAGGCUUGCACACUUGAAAAACAAUAUUGACAUUUAACAUCGAAGGAUUUAAUUAUGGUCUUGUGUUUUUUGGAGGUCCUAAAAAUAGGUGAAAACUUAAAAUAAGAUUGACUUGACCAACUCAACAUGUGAUUACGUUGUAUACGUCGAUGUGGUCAAUAGAAUUUAUUUCCCUUAACUUGGCAUCGAGUACGCUAGUGCCAGCCUUAUCUUCCCAUGGGAACUUGAACAAUUUGAGCAAUUGGCCAUUGCCAACCACAUUUUUAAGUAAUGUCUUCUUUCACCCUUCAAAUAUCUUAAAUCAAUUCAGUUUUAUGUAGAUAUCAUUUUCACUUUUAAACCUUACUUAUUAUCAUUAAGCUUUGUAACGUAGCCGCCACUCGCAAGUUGCAUCAAAAUUGAAGUUUAACCGUUGGGUAGGCACAAUUUUGAAGUGAUCAAGUUAUGAUACGUUUAAUACAACUGCAACUUGGUCCCAUUCAUAAAUGUGGUGUGGAGAUAGUACCAUAGUUUUAAAAGGUGCAAGGCACACCUAAGGCACAAAAGUAUCCUAUAGCUUAGGCACAAGGCACAACACAAAGCACGCACAUGAGUGAAGUGAAACCUAACCUAGUAUGCAUAUCAAUUUUAUAAAAUAUGAUACAAAACUCAAUCCACUCAAUAAAAAAUUUAUUAUUUUAAAAGAAGCAUUCAAAAAAAAGUAAUAAAAUUAUGUAGAUUUUAAUAUACAAUUAGAAAUUUCAAGAAUAAAAGUGUUUAAAAAUGAAAAGUAAAAUAGACAAGGCACGCCGCUUCAACAAGGCACAUGUCUUGGCAAGCAAUGUGCUAUAGCUAGGGAGUGGUUGUGCUUUGAGCCUAAGCGUGCUUUAAGCAAGCCUUUUAAAACUAUGGUUUGGUAACCGUUUUAAAAAACAAUCCUGAAAAAUAGUUUUUGAGAACAGUUUUUGAAAACUAUUCUCUGAUUCUUGUAGAAUAAAAGUAUAUUUGGAAACCUAAAAUGUUUUUAUCUUGUUUUUAAUAUUUUUAAAUAUGUUUUAAAAAUAAUUUUUAUAUCUAGUAUUUUAUUUUUAAUCAUUUUAUAUGUUUGUAUAAUUAUUUCUUAAAACAAUUAUCAGAAAACAAGUGAAAAAGUCAUAAAAUAAUUUUUAGUUGUCAAACACCUUUUCUAUGUUUUUUGUUCUAGAAAACAAAAAACUAUUUUCAAAACCAGUUCCCAAACAUGCCUUUAAUAUGGGGUUGAAUGUAUUUUUUUUUUUUUCUUGCUUUCAAGGUAUUAAGGAAUUAUAUUCUUAAUUUUUUUCCCAUCUAUUUUCCCCACAAUCAAAGAAGCAUUAUUUAUUGUUAUACUUCCAUGACAAGGAAAGGAAGACAAAACAAAAUGUUGUAUAAUCUGAGACUUGGUGCUACAUGGCUGCAAGACUCUCUAGGAGCUAAGGAGCAUGAAGAAAGUACAACCAAUUCUGAAUUACAAUUCUUUGAUAUGAAGACCAUAGUUGCAGCCACAAAUAAUUUCUCUUCUAAGAACGAACUUGGAUGUGGGGUUUUGGCUCAAUUUAUAAGGUAGUUAGCCAUUCUCAAAUUUGUGAUGAAUAUUGAAAUUGUUGGACUUUCUUUCAUUGCUCAAGUAUCACACUAAGCUGAAUUUUCCAUAAAAUAAUUCUACAUGAUGAUUAUCAGGGUCAACUAUCUAAUGGACAAGAAAUAACUAUGAAAAGAUUAUCAAAGGAUUUGGGACAAGGAAAAAAAGAAUUUAAGAAUGAAGUAACACUUAUUGCUAAACUCCAACACAUAAAUGUUGUGAGGCUUUUGGGUUGUUGCAUUCAAGGAAAAGAGAAGAUGUUCGUUUAUGAGUCCUUGCCAAACAAAAGUUUGAACUUUUUCAUUUUUAGUAUGUACCAUUUCUUUUCUAUCAUUUCCAUUUCUUUAAUCUUCUAAGGUUCUUGCAUAAUCACUUGGAGAAGUUAUUUGCCUAAUAAAAAUCAUUAUUAGUAUAUCCUAACAUUGUUUUAUUGAUUGACAUUUUAUAUAUUUUUGGGCUAGAUGAAAAAAAAAAGUCAGUGUUAGAUUGGAGAAAACGCUUUGAAAUUAUUAUGGGAAUUGCUCAAGGAAUCUUAUAUCUUUAUGAGGACUCUAGAUUAAGAGUCAUACAUAGAGAUCUAAAAGCAAGCAAUGUUCUACUAGAUGUUGAAAUGCUUCCAUAAUUUUCAGAUUUUGGCAUGGCUAGAAUAUUUGGAGGAAAACAAAUGGAAGGAAACACAAAUCGAGUAGUUGGAACAUAGUAAGUGUCAUGUUUGAUAUGCCAAAGAAACAUAAUAGUUAAUAUGUUUUAAUAGUUUCUUUAUUUUCUAUUACAGUGGUUACAUAUCACCUGAGUAUACGAUGGAAGGGUUAUUUUCAACAAAAUCUAAUGUCUAUAACUUUGGAGUUUUGUUGUUAGAGAUUGUUACUAGAAGAAAAAAUAGCACUUAUUAUCAUGACAAUCCAUUAACUUAGUUGGAAAUGUGAAUGAAUUGAAUGUGUGUUGCAUUACUUUUUUCUUUUCAUUCUUUAUAGUAAGUUAAUAAUGAUAAAAUUCAUAGUUUUGGAUCCUAUGGGAAGAAGACAAAGCCUUGGAUAUAAUCGAUCUGUCACUUGAGAAGUCAUACCCUGUAGAUGAAGUAUUGAGAUGCAUCCAAAUUGGGCUCUUAUGUGUGCAAAAAUCUACAACAGAUCGACCUACCAUGUUGACAAUUAUUUUCAUGUUUGGUAACAACUCUUCUCUUCAUUUUCCUAAACGGAUUGCAUUUAUGUCAAAAACAACUCAUAGGGGGCAAGACCUAUCAUCUUAUGGUGAAGGAAUUUUCUCUAUAAAUGAUGUGACCAUGACUUUGCUUCAACCUCGCUAAAUGCUUACACUCUCACAUGUUGUAAGUUUAUCCUCCAAGACAAUGAAUUGUAUACACUAUGACAAAGAGAACACCUUUUGAUUUAGUGAUCAUAGUUAGAUAAUUAUCAACUCUGUAAGUGUAUGCUCAAAGAUAGGGCAAGAAUGGAAGCUUGUAGGUAUAGUCAAAUAAUCGAUUAAGUAUGAUUAGCUCUCAACAUUAAGGCCCUAAAAUCAUAUAAUUAAAAUGGUUCAAAUGGAGCUAAUAGUUCAAAUAGUUCCAUAUGGGUAAUGGAAGAGCUUAGAAUGAAGCAAUGCGUUGGUUCUUAUGCUAUGCCUAAUGAUGGAAAGACUGAAUGUUCAAUUGGUAAAUCUUCAAAUUUUGAAAAUAAUUGGAGACUAUCACGAGGCAUUUAUCAUAUUUUCCUUUUGCUAGGAUGAUCAAAUCUACUUUCUCUUUUAAAUUCAAGGCAUACUCGUGGUUCCUAAAAUGAAUUACUAGGGCUAUUCACUUUUCUUAUCAAGUAGUGAGUGACAAUUGGAAAAUAUGCCCAUUUGAAUUUUGGAUCGUUGGUUGCCUUUACCAUAAGGCAUCUUAGUGUUGUAUUGAUUCCUGAAAUAGUCAAUAAAUGAAAAGAAGUUUUUCUAUUUUGGGCAUGGCACAUGAUAUCAAAUUUGGCAGUAGAUGGAUGUUUAGUAUAUGAGCAUCUUUAUUGCAAAUAAUUUUACAAAUUUUCAGUACAUUCUUCAUCAGAUUUCUACUUUUGAUCUAUCAAAUACUGUAGAUGCUCGAACAUGGGUGUCGACUACAAGGUAUGACUUCAGAUCCAAGACAUCUGAAAUUCAAAGUUAAGAAUUGAUUACGUGAAUCAAGGGGGAAAAUAUCAUUAGGAAAUGAAUUUUUUUUUUAGAAAUGAUAAUUACGAAGACUUUAGAGAGCGAAAAGUUGAUUGACCUUGGGUAUAGUUGGACAAUCCAAUUGAUUAUACUAUCAUCGAGUUAGGUUGGGAGAGUGAGAGCCAACAUAUUCAUAACUUUAAGAUGAAAAUUGGUUUAGUUUAAGGACCUCAGGGCAUCCCUAAUUUGGUUGGUUUUUAGUACUGACUAAUGGUAAGAUUUUCUUUUCUUUUUUCUUUACUUUUUUUCCAAUCUCAUUGACAAAUGAGUGACAAUGAGUGUUAAAAGAAUAAUUAAAGAGACAACAUUACUUCGAGGCGGGGCACAAGGGAAGAAAGACAACAAAAAGUGUUAUAAUUUGAGUUUUAUUGCUACAUGCCUCAAAGAAUUAGUCCCCAAGAACAAACGAGUGAAGUGUAAAUAGUGUAAAUUCUAAAUUAUCAAGGAAUUCAAGAUAAGGAGUAGAAGAAUAUAAGAAAACAUGAAUAUAAGGAUCCUGUGAAGUUCUUAGGUUGUUGCAUAUAAGGAGAAGAUAAAGAUGUUAGUCUAAGAAUACUUAUUGAACAAUAGUUUGAACUCUUUUAUUUUCAUCCUAUCUUUUUUUAAAAAAAAAAAAAAAAAUUUGACAAUUUCUAAAUCUCUUCAUCUCUUUUGCUUGUGAUCUCACUGUUAUCACAUGGAAAAUUUGUUUUACAUUAAAACUAUAUAAUAGUAUUUUAAUAUGGUGUCAGAGUCUCAUUUGGUGUGAGAUCAUGUAUUCAAAUCUCAUUGUAUAUUUAUUUUCCAAUUUGUAGUUGUUUCCCUGUUGGGGGUCACACGCGAGGAAGGGUAUUAAAAACCAUAAUAUAGCUUACGAACUCAAAUCUUAUAAGUAGAAGCUUUUAGAAAAAAAUAUAAUUUGUUUAAACCUUUAGAAAACCUGUAGUUUAACAUGUAAACUUUCAUAUUUUUUGUUUUGAUGAGACAAAAAUGUCAAAUUUAGAUUGGAUAAAAAAUUUCAAAAUUAUUGUUGAAAUUUCUUAAGGACUUUUAAGUUAUGUUUGGUUUCUUGAAAAUAAUAUGAAACAAAAUUAUAAGAAAAUGAUUCCCUCUUGUUUAACUUAUUAUAGAAAAUAUUAUAAAAUUUUAAAUAUAAUUCAAAUGAGUAAUAAAUUAACGUAUUUUUAAAUUAUUUAAUCUUUAUAUAGAAGAGAAAAAACUAUUUUUUAUUUUUUUUCACUUUUUGUUUAGUGUUUUCUAUCCCUUACAUUUUUCGUCAAAUCUUCCAAUAACCAAAUAUAGGGUUAUAUCUUCAUCAAGACUUAAACCAUACAUAGCGAUAUAAAAGCAAGCAAUUAAUAUUCUACUAUAUACUGAAAUGAUUCCAAAAAUUUCAGAUAGAUUUUGGUAUGGCUAAAAGAUUUGGAGGGAACCAAAUAGAAGGAAACACAAAUCUGGUGAGGUUGGAACAUGGUUAGUGUCAUGCACCAAAUGUCAAAACACAACAUUGAACAAAUCUUUCCAGUUUGUUUUAUUUGUCACUGCAGCAGCUAUAUAUAACUUUUGUGUCAUCUGAGUAAGUAAUGGAAGGGUUAUUUUCAAUAAAAUAUGAAGUUUAUAGCUUUGGAGGUUUUCCUAUUAGAAAUUAUUUUGGGAGAAAAAACAAUUAAUGCUCACUACCAUGAUAAUCCCUCCUUGAACUUGGCUGGACAUGUGAGUUAACUGAAUUUCUUAUAGCUUACUUCUUCUUCACUGUAAGCUGAUGCUAUAAAAAAAUAAAUUCAGGUUUGUAACUUAUGUAGAGAAGGCAAAGCUUUGGAUAUGAUUGAUCCUUUAUUAGAAAAGUCAGAUCCUGCAGAUGGAUGAAGUGCCGACAUGCAUCCAAAUUGGGCUCUUAUCUGUGCAAGAAUGCCAACUACCUACCAUGUUCUUCGGUAACAACCCUAAUCUUCCUUCUCCUAAGCCACCUGCAUUUAUUUUGAAAAUUAGCAUGUAAUAAUGGUGAGUUCCCAUCAACAUCAAGUGUAGGAAGCUUGUUUUGAAGCUUGCUGAUUGCUCAAGCUCUGAUAAGUUGUAAAAAUUAAUUAUUUUGCCUACCAGAGGUAGCGUACGCAAAUAUCAUUAAAGUUCUCUCUCUCUCUUUUCUGGUUUUUGUCCAAAGGCAGCAAUAACGUAAAAUAUUGAGAAGAACCACACAGUCUAACAUCAGCUUCCUCCAUGUCAAGAAUGAGAUACAAAGGUUGUAGUGUAAAAAGUUUAAAAUACUGUCCCCUGGAAUGAUCUCAACUUCUUGAUGAUUUGUUUCUGCAGCAUCUGCUAAUGGUUCUUGACCUGUUUCUUUCAGCCCAUAGCUGCUCCAUCCUUGGCCCAAUCUUUUUCUAUUUAUUAUUGCGAAUUAAACGAACCCAUUCCUAUCUGAUCAUGAACUGAUCUCUUGGCACAAGGCCUAGAUAAGACAGCCUGUUCUUGUACUUCUUUUAAUGUUGCUACUACUUAACUAACAGUUCCAAGGUAGCUGAUGCUGAGGGAUAUUUCACAAUAUUCACCAUAUUUUAGGUACCAUUUUAAAUUAGUAUAAUAUAUAAAAUAAAAAAGAAAAUAAAGAUAUUUUAUCCUAGGUUUGUUUAUAUAUAUAUUAACUUUUUUUAUUACUUAUUUUGAAAAAUAAAAUUUUUUAUUUAUAAAUUUUAAAUAUUUUAAAUCAUGAGUAUUAUUAAUAAAUAAAUAAAUAAUUAUUUACUAAAUAUCAAAUUAUUGAAAAUAUAUCAUUAAAUGUAAGAGAAAAUUUAUAUUUUUUAAUAGCACAUAUAGAAAUAUAAUAUAAUUUUAUUUUAAACAAAUAUUGGAAAUUUGAGAAAUAAUAUUCAUAAGCUUGCAAACUUGAAAAGCCAUAUUGACAUUUAACAAUGAAGGAUUUAAUUGUGGUCUUGAUUUUUUGACGUCCUAAAAACAGGUGAAAACGUAAAAUAACAUUGACUUGACCAACUCCAUGGGUGAUUACGUCGUAUACGUCGAUAUAAGUUUCAAUGUGGUCAAUAGAAUCCAUAAGCAUUAAUCAAUAAUUAAGUGGGUCCUUUUUUCCCUUGACUUGGCAUCGAGUAGGCUAGCACCAGCCUCAUCUUCGCAUGGGAGACGGCAAAUGCACCAAAUAUAGCAGGAACAAUUUGAGCAAUUGGCCAUUGCCAAACACCUCUUUAAGUAAUGCUUUCAUCCUCCCUUCAAAUAUCUUAAAUCGAUUCAAUUUUAGGUAGAUAUCAUUGUCACUUUUGACCCUUACUUUUUAUCAUUAAGCUCCGUCAUGUAGUCGCCGCUCGCCAGUUCAAUUCAUGCAUCAAAAUUGAAGUUUAACAGUUGGGUUGGUGCAAUUUUGAAGUGAUCAAUGCUAUGAUAGGUUUAAUGCAACUGCAACUUUGUCCAAUUCAUAAAUGUGGCGUGGAGAUAGUACAAAUGCAACUCUGUCUAAAGCUUUUGUCAUUUGCUCCACUCGUUCCUUCAUGGUAUGCCUCGUUAGUUUUUGUGUUGUAGACUUGCUCUGUCUCUUCCACCAGCGCUCAGCAUCGGUAACACGGAAGUCACCACUUUAUCAUGAAGUCACAUAUGCAUCCUGUAAAGAUGUUUCUUCAGUACUUGCUUCUAUUCCUUAUGCUCCCACUUUGCAGCUCCACUAACACCAUAACUCCUAACCAGCCCUUCAGAGAUGGUGACCUUCUAGUCUCUAAAGAGUCCAGGUUUGCUCUUGGCUUCUUCAGUCCACGGAAUUCUACACUCCGAUAUAUUGGAGUUUGGUACAACACAAUUCGUGAACAAACCGUUGUAUGGGUUCUUAAUAGAGACCAUCCUAUCAAUGAUACCUCCGGAGUCCUCUCCAUCAACACUUCUGAACACCUCCUUUUGCACCGCGGAAACACUCAUGUAUGGUCCACAGACGUUUCCAUCUCAUCAGUGAACCCUACUAUGGCUCAGCUG
RNAcentral lists this long non-coding RNA (15929 nucleotides) under Vitis vinifera (wine grape). Its description in RNAcentral is "long non-coding RNA (VVIN_LNC007630)". Lineage: Eukaryota; Viridiplantae; Streptophyta; Magnoliopsida; Vitales; Vitaceae. The record is from RNAcentral.